CUUCCCAUUGAUUUGCUGCUCUAGUCUGGCAAUGAUAUGAGCAGUUAUAUGCAUGGGAUAGAGUGACAUGGGAUCUUUGUAAAUGGGGAUGAAGUGACAGUUUCAUCCCGCCUGCAUGGUCUUAAUAUUA
Small nucleolar RNA from Sorex araneus (European shrew), 130 nucleotides. The record is from Ensembl. NCBI's taxonomy places the organism in Eukaryota, Metazoa, Chordata, Mammalia, Eulipotyphla, Soricidae.